GACGAACGCUGGCGGCGUGCUUAACACAUGCAAGUCGAGCGAUGAAGUUCCUUCGGGAAUGGAUUAGCGGCGGACGGGUGAGUAACACGUGGGUAACCUGCCUCAUAGAGGGGAAUAGCCUUUCGAAAGGAAGAUUAAUACCGCAUAAGAUUGUAGUAUCGCAUGAUACAGCAAUUAAAGGAGUAAUCCGCUAUGAGAUGGACCCGCGUCGCAUUAGCUAGUUGGUGAGGUAACGGCUCACCAAGGCGACGAUGCGUAGCCGACCUGAGAGGGUGAUCGGCCACAUUGGGACGGAGGCACGGCCCAGACUCCUACGGGAGGCAGCAGUGGGGAAUAUUGCACAAUGGGGGAAACCCUGAUGCAGCAACGCCGCGUGAGUGAUGACGGUCUUCGGAUUGUAAAACUCUGUCUUCAGGGACGAUAAUGACGGUACCUGAGGAGGAAGCCACGGCUAACUACGUGCCAGCCGCCGCAGUAA
Molecule: ribosomal RNA, 478 nt
Filed under: uncultured bacterium
Lineage: Bacteria
Description: partial 16S ribosomal RNA
Rfam family: Bacterial small subunit ribosomal RNA
Source: RNAcentral